CCUACGGGAGGCAGCAGUGGGGAAUCUUGCACAAUGGAGGAAACCCUGAUGCAGCGACGCCGCGUGAGUGAAGAAGUAUUUCGGUAUGUAAAGCUCUAUCAGCAGGAACGAGACAAGACGGUACCUGACUAAGAAGCCCCGGCUAACUACGUUCCAGCAGCCGCGGUAAUACGUAGGGGGCAAGCGUUAUCCGGAAUCACUGGGUGUAAAGGGAGUGUAGGCGGGAAAGCAAGUCCGAAGUGAAAACUAUGGGCUUAACCCAUAGACUGCAUUUGAAACUGUUUUUCUUGAGUGAAGUAGAGGCAAGCGGAAUUCCUAGUGUAGCGGUGAAAUGCGUAGAUAUUAGGAGGAACACCAGUGGCGAAGGCGGCUUGCUGGGCUUUUACUGACGCUGAGGCUCGAAAGCGUGGGGAGCAAACAGGAUUAGAUACCCGGGUAGUC
This 441-nucleotide ribosomal RNA is filed under the name uncultured bacterium. Its description in RNAcentral is "partial 16S ribosomal RNA". It matches the Rfam family "Bacterial small subunit ribosomal RNA", at positions 338 to 795 of the family's 1533-position model. The record is from RNAcentral.